Molecule: long non-coding RNA, 389 nt
Organism: Rana temporaria (common frog)
Lineage: Eukaryota; Metazoa; Chordata; Amphibia; Anura; Ranidae
Exons: 4
Source: RefSeq, a predicted model, not a curated record
CGUACCUAGGCCCGCCCCCUUACUUCCCUAUAUAAACCUCUAGCCGUCCAAACAAUGUCAGACAUUGCUGGACGGCAGAGGUACUAGUGACAUGUCUGGUGGCCACACUGAGCGCUUGUCUCUUAUUGGAGCUCUGCUAGCUCUCUACUGACACCUCUGGCCAAAUUUAAUAUGACACAUUUCUGCUAACCUCAGGUUUUUACAUUAUCAUAUGUUACUUUGUGACUAUAUGGGCCUGAGGUCUUGCUAUAUGUGAUUCUGCACCGCCGGCUUCCUUCCUCUUAAUUUCAUCCAGAGGAGUCUUUCUGCGUCCUGAUAGUGGUGUCCUUUCUCUGGGGUGUGCAGGGUUGAUUAAACGCUGUGAUUGAAAAGUGGUUCUUAUACUCGUU